This 436-nucleotide ribosomal RNA is filed under the name Clavibacter sepedonicus. RNAcentral's name for it is "bacterial SSU rRNA". It matches the Rfam family "Bacterial small subunit ribosomal RNA", at positions 21 to 455 of the family's 1533-position model. The record is from RNAcentral. Lineage: Bacteria; Bacillati; Actinomycetota; Actinomycetes; Micrococcales; Microbacteriaceae.
GGCUCAGGACGAACGCUGGCGGCGUGCUUAACACAUGCAAGUCGAACGGUGAUGUCAGAGCUUGCUCUGGCGGAUCAGUGGCGAACGGGUGAGUAACACGUGAGUAACCUGCCCCCGACUCUGGGAUAACUGCUAGAAAUGGUAGCUAAUACCGGAUAUGACGACUGGCCGCAUGGUCUGGUCGUGGAAAGAAUUUCGGUUGGGGAUGGACUCGCGGCCUAUCAGGUUGUUGGUGAGGUAAUGGCUCACCAAGCCUACGACGGGUAGCCGGCCUGAGAGGGUGACCGGCCACACUGGGACUGAGACACGGCCCAGACUCCUACGGGAGGCAGCAGUGGGGAAUAUUGCACAAUGGGCGCAAGCCUGAUGCAGCAACGCCGCGUGAGGGAUGACGGCCUUCGGGUUGUAAACCUCUUUUAGUAGGGAAGAAGCGAAA